CGCACCUUGCACCCUCUGGUAUUCCGGAGGGUAUGCCUGUUCGAGUGUCAUGAAAGCAUCGACCGAGUCGGGAGACCGCUCGGCCGGAUCUGGGCGUUGCCGUUCGUCGGCUCGCCUUAAAAGCAUUAGCGUUGGGGGCCAUCUACUACGGCGAUUAGGUUACGUCGUCCCGGGUGGUCGUCAGCGCUCACAGCCCGCCCCUCGUGGGCACCCUUGACUUUGACCUCGGAUCAGGUAGGACUACCCGCUGAACUUAA
RNAcentral lists this unclassified non-coding RNA (257 nucleotides) under Carlosrosaea sp. Its description in RNAcentral is "partial contains 5.8S ribosomal RNA, internal transcribed spacer 2, and large subunit ribosomal RNA". The record is from RNAcentral. Lineage: Eukaryota; Fungi; Basidiomycota; Tremellomycetes; Tremellales; Trimorphomycetaceae.